GACGAACGCUGGCGGCGUGCUUAACACAUGCAAGUCGAACGGAAAGGCCCUGCUUUUGUGGGGUGCUCGAGUGGCGAACGGGUGAGUAACACGUGAGUAACCUGCCCUUGACUUUGGGAUAACUUCAGGAAACUGGGGCUAAUACCGGAUAGGAGCUCCUGCUGCAUGGUGGGGGUUGGAAAGUUUCGGCGGUUGGGGAUGGACUCGCGGCUUAUCAGCUUGUUGGUGGGGUAGUGGCUUACCAAGGCUUUGACGGGUAGCCGGCCUGAGAGGGUGACCGGCCACAUUGGGACUGAGAUACGGCCCAGACUCCUACGGGAGGCAGCAGUGGGGAAUAUUGCACAAUGGGCGGAAGCCUGAUGCAGCAACGCCGCGUGCGGGAUGACGGCCUUCGGGUUGUAAACCGCUUUCGCCUGUGACGAAGCGUGAGUGACGGUAAUGGGUAAAGAAGCACCGGCCAACUAUGUG
RNAcentral lists this ribosomal RNA (468 nucleotides) under uncultured bacterium. Its description in RNAcentral is "partial 16S ribosomal RNA". It matches the Rfam family "Bacterial small subunit ribosomal RNA", at positions 28 to 507 of the family's 1533-position model. The record is from RNAcentral.